RNAcentral lists this ribosomal RNA (301 nucleotides) under uncultured bacterium. RNAcentral's name for it is "partial 16S ribosomal RNA". It matches the Rfam family "Bacterial small subunit ribosomal RNA", at positions 509 to 808 of the family's 1533-position model. The record is from RNAcentral.
CAGUCGCCGCGGGAAAACGUAGGUGGCAAGCGUUGUCCGGAAUUAUUGGGCGUAAAGCGCGCGCAGGCGGCUUCCCAAGUCCCUCUUAAAAGUGCGGGGCUUAACCCCGUGAUGGGAAGGAAACUGGGAAGCUGGAGUAUCGGAGAGGAAAGUGGAAUUCCUAGUGUAGCGGUGAAAUGCGUAGAGAUUAGGAAGAACACCGGUGGCGAAGGCGACUUUCUGGACGAAAACUGACGCUGAGGCGCGAAAGCGUGGGGAGCAAACAGGAUUAGAGACCCCGGUAGUCCCUGUCUCUUAUACA